Molecule: microRNA, 22 nt
Filed under: Apis mellifera (honey bee)
Lineage: Eukaryota; Metazoa; Arthropoda; Insecta; Hymenoptera; Apidae
Also listed under: 1 other name
Description: ame-miR-2765-3p
Source: miRBase by way of RNAcentral
CAAUGGGGUACGAGUUUCCUUC